UUCUUAUAUUAUUAUAAGCAAAUAUGAUUGUUGGUUUCGUCUCACCCUCUUUUUGUCGGUACAUGUAUAAUUACCAAAAUAACCUUCACAUCACUAUUAAUAGUAGUUAUUCAAUAAUAUUUAUUGUGAAUUCAAAUUUAAGUUGUUUAAUUAAAUUUAUUGAAAUUUAAUAAAUUAUAAAUUAUAUGAGUAACGGAAGAGGGGAAGUGAAAGAGUCUAUCUAUAAUCUAUUCUUAUUAUUAUAAGCAAAUAUGAUUGUUGGUUUCGUCUCACCCUUUUUUUGUCGGUACAUAUAUAAUUACCAAAAUAACCUUCACAUCACUAUUAAUAGUAGUUAUCCAAUAAUAUUUAUUGUGAAUUCAAAUUUAAGUUGUUUAAUUAAAUUUAUUGAAAUUUAAUAAAUUAUAAAUUAUAUGAGUAACGGAACAGGGGAAGUGAAAGAGUCUAUCUAUAAAUGAAAAAUUUUUAUAAUACAUAAUUACCAAAAUAACCUUCACAUCACUCUUAAUAGUAGUUAUUUAAUAAUAUUUAUUGUGAAUUCAAAUUUAAGUUGUUCAAUUAAAUUUAUUUGAAAUUUAAUAAAUUAUAAAUUGUGUGAGUAACGGAAGGGGGGAAGUUAAAGAGCCUAUCUAUAAAUGAAAAUUUUUUAGAAUUAUUUACAUCUAAUCUUUUCAUCUUCCAAAACAUAAAUGAGAGAGAAAAAAAAUAAUUAAUCAUUCUUUUAUGAAUAACGGUUCAAAUUUAAGAUGUUCAAUUAAAUUUAUUUAAAAUUUAAUAAAUUAUAAAUUGUAUGAGUAACGGAAGAAGGGAAGUGAAAAGGCCUAUCUAUAAAUAAAAAAUUUUUAAAAUUAUUUACAACUAAUCUUUCAUCUUCCAAAUAAUAAAUGAGAAAGAAAAAAAAUAAUUAAUCAUUCUUUUAUGAAUAACGGAUAAGGAGAAGUGGAAGAGCCUAUCUUCUCAUANUANNNNNNNNNNNNNNNNNNNNNNNNNNNNNNNNNAUAUAUAAUUGAGCUCCUAUGCUUUUAAAAGUACCAAAACAUUGGUACUAGUAAGUUUUCGGCCCUUGGAUUAAGGGAUGUGCAGUUAGGAUGAUGUGGAUUCCCUAGGGUUGAGUGGGUGGUAUAUAUAUAUAUAUAUAUAGAUAGAAUUACUGUUAGAACUAGUAUUA
Molecule: long non-coding RNA, 1168 nt
Filed under: Ananas comosus (pineapple)
Lineage: Eukaryota; Viridiplantae; Streptophyta; Magnoliopsida; Poales; Bromeliaceae
Description: long non-coding RNA (ACOM_LNC015335)
Source: RNAcentral